RNAcentral lists this ribosomal RNA (400 nucleotides) under uncultured bacterium. Its description in RNAcentral is "bacterial SSU rRNA". It matches the Rfam family "Bacterial small subunit ribosomal RNA", at positions 355 to 747 of the family's 1533-position model. The record is from RNAcentral.
UGGGGAAUAUUGGACAAUGGGCGCAAGCCUGAUCCAGCAAUACCGCGUGUGUGAAGAAGGCCUGAGGGUUGUAAAGCACUUUCAGCGAGGAGGAAGGUAGAGGUGUUAAUAGUACCGCUAUUUGACGUUACUCGCAGAAGAAGCACCGGCUAACUCUGUGCCAGCAGCCGCGGUAAUACAGAGGGUGCAAGCGUUAAUCGGAAUUACUGGGCGUAAAGCGUGCGUAGGUGGAUAUUUAAGUCAUAUGUGAAAGCCCCGGGCUUAACCUGGGAAUUGCAUCUGAUACUGGGUAUCUGGAGUAUGGUAGAGGAUAGUGGAAUUUCCGGUGUAGCGGUGAAAUGCGUAGAUAUCGGAAGGAACACCAGUGGCGAAGGCGACUGUCUGGGCCAAUACUGACACU